RNAcentral lists this ribosomal RNA (658 nucleotides) under uncultured fungus. RNAcentral's name for it is "eukaryotic LSU rRNA". It matches the Rfam family "Eukaryotic large subunit ribosomal RNA", at positions 24 to 664 of the family's 3401-position model. The record is from RNAcentral. Lineage: Eukaryota; Fungi.
CCCGCUGAACUUAAGCAUAUCAAUAAGCGGAGGAAAAGAAACUAACAAGGAUUCCCCUAGUAACUGCGAGUGAAGCGGGAAAAGCUCAAAUUUGAAAUCUGGCUGUCCUAUGGCAGUCCGAGUUGUAAUUUCGAGAAGUGUUGCCCGUGCCGGACCGUGCAUAAGUCCUCUGGAAAGGGGUAUCAUAGAGGGUGACAAUCCCGUCUUUGGUACGGAUUCCCGGUGCAUUGUGGUAUGCUCUCAACGAGUCGAGUUGUUUGGGAAUGCAGCUCAAAAUGGGUGGUAAAUUCCAUCUAAAGCUAAAUAUUGGCGUGAGACCGAUAGCGAACAAGUACCGUGAGGGAAAGAUGAAAAGAACUUUGGAAAGAGAGUUAAACAGUACGUGAAAUUGUCAAUAGGGAAACGCUUGAAGUCAGUCGCGUUGCUCGGGGAUCAGCCUUCCUUUUUGGUUGGUGUACUUCCUGAAUAACGGGUCAGCAUCAGUUUUGACUGCUGGAGAAAGGCUUGGGGAAUGUGGCUCUUUCGGGAGUGUUAUAGCCCUUUGUCAUAUACAGUGGUUGGGACUGAGGAACUCAGUACGCCGCAAGGCAGCUCUUCGGAGACUUUCGUGCUUAGGAUGCUGGCAUAAUGGCUUUAAUCGACCCGUCUUGAAACACGG